RNAcentral lists this ribosomal RNA (998 nucleotides) under Mesorhizobium sp. RNAcentral's name for it is "partial 23S ribosomal RNA". It matches the Rfam family "Bacterial large subunit ribosomal RNA", at positions 1950 to 2925 of the family's 2925-position model. Lineage: Bacteria; Pseudomonadati; Pseudomonadota; Alphaproteobacteria; Hyphomicrobiales; Phyllobacteriaceae. The record is from RNAcentral.
CCUAAGGUAGCGAAAUUCCUUGUCGGGUAAGUUCCGACCUGCACGAAUGGCGUAAUGAUGGCCAGGCUGUCUCCACCCGAGACUCAGUGAAAUUGAACUCGCUGUGAAGAUGCAGUGUACCCGCGGCAAGACGGAAAGACCCCGUGAACCUUUACUAUAGCUUGACACUGAACACUGGUCCUUGAUGUGUAGGAUAGGUGGGAGGCUUUGAAGCGUGGACGCCAGUCUGCGUGGAGCCAUCCUUGAAAUACCACCCUUUAAUGGCUGGUGUUCUAACGUAGACCCGUAAUCCGGGUUGCGGACAGUGUCUGGUGGGUAGUUUGACUGGGGCGGUCUCCUCCCAAAGAGUAACGGAGGAGCACGAAGGUUAGCUAAUCCUGGUCGGACAUCAGGAGGUUAGUGCAAUGGCAUAAGCUAGCUUGACUGCGAGAGUGACGGCUCGAGCAGGUGCGAAAGCAGGUCAUAGUGAUCCGGUGGUUCUGAAUGGAAGGGCCAUCGCUCAACGGAUAAAAGGUACUCCGGGGAUAACAGGCUGAUACCGCCCAAGAGUUCAUAUCGACGGCGGUGUUUGGCACCUCGAUGUCGGCUCAUCACAUCCUGGGGCUGAAGUAGGUCCCAAGGGUAUGGCUGUUCGCCAUUUAAAGUGGUACGCGAGCUGGGUUUAGAACGUCGUGAGACAGUUCGGUCCCUAUCUGCCGUGGGCGCUGGAGAAUUGAGGGGGGCUGCUCCUAGUACGAGAGGACCGGAGUGGACGCAUCACUGGUGUUCGGGUUGUCAUGCCAAUGGCAUUGCCCGGUAGCUAAAUGCGGAAGAGAUAAGUGCUGAAAGCAUCUAAGCACGAAACUUGCCCCGAGAUGAGUUCUCCCUGACCCUUUAAGGGUCCUGAAGGAACGUUGAAGACUACGACGUUGAUAGGUCGGGUGUGUAAGCGCAGCGAUGCGUUGAGCUAACCGAUACUAAUGAACCGUGAGGCUUAACCUUACAACGCCGAAGCUGUU